This is a long non-coding RNA of Macrobrachium nipponense, 712 nucleotides long. RefSeq lists it as uncharacterized. The record is from RefSeq and is a predicted model, not a curated record. The transcript has 4 exons. NCBI's taxonomy places the organism in Eukaryota, Metazoa, Arthropoda, Malacostraca, Decapoda, Palaemonidae.
AAGGCCGUGAUCUUCUUAUGGGAGCCGAGCGUGAUGUUCCGUGAUGGACAUGCACCCUUACGGAGCUGACGUGGAACUCAUUAAAGCCUUGGGCUACGCCAUGAAACUUCACUGUUCAGUACGUUCAACCUCCGGAAGGAGAGCGUUGGGGCGAAGUCCUGCCCGACGGCUCCCUGACGGGAUUGGUCGGGAUGGUCAACAGAGGCGAGGCGGAGAUGGCAGCCACCAACAUCUUCGUCUCGAUCAGUCGACUGAGCAUCAUCGACUUCAGCAAGGACUAUGAAUCGCAGAGCAGCUGUUUGCUGGUAAAAACAGAGCCACCUCUACCCAAAUGGCAGUCUCUGUUGCUCCCAUUCCAACUCUGGGUUUGGUUUGCCUUUCUCAUCGGUCUGCUGUUCUUUGGACCACUGUUAACCCUGCUGGCAAGAAGCAGCAUUCACUGCCCUAAGAGUGACAAGGCAUUCACCCGGCUCUCGUACAGUUGGCUGCAGACGUAUGGAAUGCACGUCGCCGCGGGAUCAGUGCGUGCUCCAGUGCAGACGAAGCAUUCAGGUAAGAGAAUGGCAAUAUUCCCUUUUGUGGUCAUAGCCUGGGUGGAAAUGGGGACUCAUUUGGCGUCCUCUCCCCCACCUCCCACCCACCACUUCAUUUUCGAAAGUAGGAACAAUCCAAUUAUGAAAUUAACAACAGUAAAGUGUAGAAAAAUAGCUAC